RNAcentral lists this ribosomal RNA (236 nucleotides) under uncultured bacterium. Its description in RNAcentral is "partial 16S ribosomal RNA". It matches the Rfam family "Bacterial small subunit ribosomal RNA", at positions 15 to 240 of the family's 1533-position model. The record is from RNAcentral.
GAUCCUGGGCUCAGGACGAACGCUGGCGGCGUGCCUAAUACAUGCAAGUAGAACGCUGAAGAGAGGAGCUUGCUCUUCUUGGAUGAGUUGCGAACGGGUGAGUAACGCGUAGGUAACCUGCCUUGUAGCGGGGGAUAACUAUUGGAAACGAUAGCUAAUACCGCAUAACAAUGGAUGACACAUGUCAUUUAUUUGAAAGGGACAAUUGCUCCACUACAAGAUGGACCUGCGUUGUA